This 472-nucleotide ribosomal RNA is filed under the name uncultured bacterium. RNAcentral describes it as "SSU rRNA". It matches the Rfam family "Bacterial small subunit ribosomal RNA", at positions 26 to 521 of the family's 1533-position model. The record is from RNAcentral.
AGCCUGAACGCUGGCGGCGUGGCUAAGACAUGCAAGUCGUACGGGCGCAGCAAUGCGUCAGUGGCGAACGGGUGAGUAAUGUAUCGCUAACGUGCCCCUCUGCCUGGGAUAGCCGUCCGAAAGGACGGGUAAUACCGGAUAAGACCACAAUCCCGCAUGGGAUGGUGCUCAAAGGAGUAAUCCGCAAAGGGAGCGGGCGAUAUCGUAUCAGCUAGUUGGUGAGGUAACGGCUCACCAAGGCGACGACGCGUAGCCGGGCGUGAGAGGUCGGCCGGCCGACAUUGGGACGUGAGACACUGCCCAGACUCCUACGGGGGCGUGCAGUAACGAAUCUUCCGCAAUGCACGAAAGUGUGACGGAGCGACGCCGCGUGGAGGACGAAGUUCUUCGGAAUGUAAACUCCUGUCAGGGGCAGCCAAGUUCUGAGGCGCCCAGAGGAAGGCACGGCUAACUCUGUGCCAGCAGCCGCGGU